This is a long non-coding RNA of Neofelis nebulosa (Clouded leopard), 712 nucleotides long. RefSeq lists it as uncharacterized. NCBI's taxonomy places the organism in Eukaryota, Metazoa, Chordata, Mammalia, Carnivora, Felidae. The record is from RefSeq and is a predicted model, not a curated record. The transcript is spliced from 2 exons.
UCAAGGGAAAAGGCCAUGGUAGUUUAUUCGGCAGUCGGACAGGCUUUGAAUCCAGAUACGGAAACAAAGAGUACACAUUCACCUUCUCUUUUUCGCGGAGCCCCAAAUUCUGUUCUCUCCACACUAGAUGGCAGUAGAGUUAAAGAAGACACAGUCCAAAGUCGCUUUGGUUGAAUUUCCCCACUAAGCUGGGAUGAGACUAGAGCCAGAGCCCCACCUGCAUAAAGAGAAAGUUAAAUUACAACCCAGGUGCGAUGCGACACUCGGGCGUGUCACAUGCCCCUUUUGGUAAAAUGGAUUUGGGGCAGAACCUCUCUUUCUCUCUCCAUGCUGUGUCUUCACAGGAAUGGACAAGCCGAUGAUCCUAAAGCUCAGAUGGAAAUGCAAAGGACUCCAAACAGCCAAAAUAAUCUUGAAAAAGGACAAAGUUGGAACUUUGUCAGUUCCUGCAAAUAGAAAAGAUUUCAUGGAAAUGUCAUCAUACAAUAUGUGACCUAUCAUGUCUGGCUUCUUUCACUUAGCAUAGUGUUUUCAGGGUUCAUCCAUGUUGUAGCAUACAGCAUUAUUUCGUUCCUUUUUAUGGCCCCAAACAUUCCAUUGUAUUGGUAUACCAACCACAUGUUGUUGAUCCGUUUGUCUGUUGAUGGACUUUUGUAUCGUUUCUAUUCUUUGGCUAUUACAAAUAAUGCUGCCAUAAAACAUUCAUGUGCAA